This is a long non-coding RNA of Aquila chrysaetos chrysaetos, 4398 nucleotides long. RefSeq lists it as uncharacterized. The transcript is spliced from 4 exons. Lineage: Eukaryota; Metazoa; Chordata; Aves; Accipitriformes; Accipitridae. The record is from RefSeq and is a predicted model, not a curated record.
CCGGCCGAGCGGCCGGCGGCGGCGGUGGGAGCUCCCCGGCGGCGCGGCCGGCCCCAGCCCGCCGGCCCCGCUCGGAGCGCGGGGUCCGCCGCACCUGCGGGCAGAGGGGCGGCUCAGGCCGGGCUCAGCCGCUCUGCGGGGCCUCCGCGCGUUUCUCGCCGCUCAAGCGUCGAGCAGGCUGUUGGUGUAGAGUCGGAGGCGGCUCUUGUAAAAAUCCGGGUGGCGGAGAUGCCGAAAGCGGGAUUAACGAACGCGGGGGAGCUCCGAGCCCCUCUGCCAGGCGGGGGCAUGAAUACCACACGCGCUUGGUGGUGGUGCAGUCCUCGCGUACCUGAAGAGUUGGUGCCUCGGUGUAUACAGAGUUGUGCCGGCUGCUUUUUAAGGACUAAGACGAGCCCUUAUGUCUCCUCAUUGCCCACGUAGCUAACUCGGUAAGGAGGAAGAUUUGCCAAACAGGUUGUAGUUGCCGCGCUGAGGUCGCACGGCGCGUGGUGUUGGCGGCCGUAUCACCUCCAAACUGGGGUGUCGUGGACACUGCUGAGAAGCGCAAGGCGAUAGCUAGUAAUUUCAGGGCAAAGUCUAUGUGGUUCAGGGUAGCUUAAUGUGGCCUUAGCUAGUCGUUUUAUUUUCGUAAUUAAAAUAUGUAUUACGUGGCAAGACUCACUCUAUCAUAUUAAUCAGGUUUACAAGGAUGUAAAUUGAUAUGAAAACUCUAUAUUAUAUUACAGAACUUGAUGUCUGAACCAGGAAGAGUCUUUCACAAUCCCUUUUUCUAUUCAGACUGCAUUUACCUGAUUGCCGGCUAACAGGUCUCUAUGUCAGAUCACAACUACUCGCAGUGAACUCAGAACAUGAGAGAAGAGAAAAAGGAAGCUUCUCAUUCUCCCAAAUGGAUCUCUUAAGCAUGAAGCUGAUGCGAUGCCAGCAGAACGUUGGCGGCUACAUCCGCUGGUACUCUGACUUUUGAGAAGUACAACUCUUGAUUGAGUUCAGGUGUCCUGCACCCACAAGGCUAUGGUUGAGAACCACUAGGAGCUUUAGGAAAGCAUUCGAGGAGUGUAAUUUGAAAAGAGAAACUAAAGCAGAAAGGAACCCGCUUUCUUGGGAGGGACUUGGACAACACAGUGGUCAAGUUGCUGAUUGCCGGUAUGCUUUACGGCUCCAAACUGUGCUAAGUCCGGUAAGGUAGAACUGAUCUGUUUUAAGUAAUGCCUCAGUGCAAACAAGGCCUUGAAGGUGAGUGUCUCUUUAUGUCUACUGUUAUAACAGUGGAGACGAGUCUCAUUAAUUCCGAGAUAAUACUAACGGCAGGGAAUCUUCAUUGACUAUAGUAUUUGUUAGCCUUUUCCAGACUCCUUGGUCAUUUUCCUAGAGCAAUGACUCAUCACUUCAUCACUGUGCUGAUUACAUUAAAUUGUUAUUACUAUUAUUUCAAUAUAAGUAACAUAAUGCUUAUGCUAAUUCACUUUGUGCGCAACUGUCAGAAUUCUUGAAACAGCCAUCAAUUGAAAGCAUCCUACAUGAGCAUUUCAGCAUUAUUUAGACUUUUCCUGAUUAUUCUAUUCAUAUUUAUGAUAUUUAACUCUGUUCAGUGAUGAUUUUCAAUAUAGUAUGUGAAAACUCAGAGCAAAUGGUCAGACAUUUUUGUGAAACCAUUGAUAUUGUUUGAAGGGAAAUCAGGACAUAACGUGACUGCUCUUCAGUUUUUACUAAAAUUCAGCCUUUUUUCUUCAGAUCUAAUCUAAAAUUCAGAUUUUUUUUCUUACAGAACAGGCCAAAGAGUAAUGUUGGGGUGGGAGUAUCAGGGAAGACUUCCCCAAAAGGAAAAGUCUGCUUUUUUGAAACAUUGAACACGGAUGAUAAAAUGAUGCUGUUAGAUUUAUUUUUUUUUUAACAGUAGCAGAACAAAAAUCAAACGUUGAGAGAUCUUAUGUUUGCAGUUACUUUAUUAAGCAGUUAGUUGUAUACAACUCCAAAAGAGUCUUCAGUUUCAAGGCUGCCUCUGAACUCUGUGCCCUGAAGAAAAGGAAGGCUUCAAAAUGUGGUUUCUGGUAUAUCCAACAUUAAAAAAACCCCAACCUUAUCGUCCUUCUUGCCUGCUUUUUCUUUGUAAUAGAAUGAAUUUGAAAACAUGAAAAAACACAGCAUAGCAUAAUAACGAAGGGACAGUACCAAGGUCUGACCUUGGUGAGGUUAUUCAUGUGCUUGAAGUUACACAAGUACUUUGUUCUGCCCAUAUGUGGAAUGCAAGCAAGCUCACCACAGUAACUGGCGUGAGUGAAGAAAGACUGGUGCCCUUGAUUAAUGGGAACAUUCAGUGGCAUGCCGAACAAGGAAACCAAGCUUUUAUAACAGGUAAAAUUUUGUAAAACUCAGUAAUUCAUCACAUCACCUGCCUGAGUUUAUUUUACCUAGAUAGACUUGAAAUGUCAUACACAUUUUAAUUAGCACGCUAUGUACUAUUGCUAAGUUUUAAACCAGGUACAGGUUUAUAAUAUCUGAGAAUGUACAUAGCAAGAAGAACAAAUUGCCAGUUUGUACUUAGCUGAACACAAAAUUGGCAAAAUUUGGUGCCGGGCAGUUAUGUAAAAGAGCUCAGUUCUAUCGAUCCAGAUCUCAAAGCUCACCUUAGGUUUUUGAUAUGACUUCUAGUCUUUAUAAGUGGCUCUGAUUUAUAUACAUUUCUAACUGAAGCAGGCCUUCCAGACUGCACAUGCAUGUAAUCCACCUACCAGGCAGGACUGUGGAACAAACAGAUGCAAGCAGCUCCACAAUUGUUCAUUGGCUUUGGGGAACAAAUGGAUGCCUAGUGGAUCAGCAUCACCUCAACAUGUUUUGGAAGUCUGUUCAAAGCUGCCCUUCUCCAUCCCCGCUGAGAAUGUAAAUUCUUGUAGCUCAAAAUGGUAUAACUGUUUUAUUCAAUAUUCCCAUUUUAUAUUUUUUGGAUACUCAACAUUAAUUUUGAGUGUAAUUCUGUUCCAGGUGUUUGUGCACUAGAAAAGGUUUUUGUUUCUAAGUGCAUGCUCUGCUAUAGUAAUUAUCCCUCCUGCACUGUAAUUCAAGCCUAAAAGUUGAUUUAUUCUCCAUGUGUUCUUUGUAGAAUUAAAUGUGUCGCUGUUGUAACUGACUUACUCCUGACAAAGCUGAUCUAAACAGUUGCAGAAAUGUCUCAUUGCCUUCGCAGUUAUGAGCCCAAUUAACUUGUCAACAUUUUCCAACAGUUAUUUACUACAGAUUUACCACAGCUCUAAUCAGCUAUAGAGGUGGGAGAAAGGACAAUUAGGGUAGGGAGUGUCUUUUCUUGCAGUUUUCUAGUGACAACUGUAACUGGAGCCUCAUUUCACAAGUAUUUUAGGAUAUGUAGGAAGUCAGAAAUGGUGAUGGGUCAGAAAAUCACAGAGAGGUUUGUUCAGUGAUUGUGAUCUGACUGUGAAGCCUACUGAAAUUUGCUUUUUUACUACUAAUGAUUUCAUUCUUGGUUCUUUCAACAGACAUUUAAAAAUGAGAUUAUCCCAUCUGUCUUAGCGUAUUUUGUAUGUCAUUUCACAUUUGCUACCUAAAGACCAGCUUCUGCUAUCUUUGUUCAUCAUAUGCUGAGAACACCACGGCUGCAUUGAAAAGGUGAAAAUUCAGAAAAAAUGGAGAACAUUGGCUGUUGUUCUGAUAGCAUUAAUCCCUCUCAUAUUUUGCUUCUUUGCAUGUAUUCUGUAUCGCCUGAACUAAAUUACUGUAGAUUCUCCUAGGAAAGUAUCACACUGAAUGUUGUGUGAUUUAAAUAUAGCUAGAGACUGCAAGGGGCCUUGCUAGAGAGUGGGUCACUGUGCAUUGCACUUUCUGGAGCUGCUGAAAGGUGCAGAGACCAGAAGCUGUUGAUCUAGCCUGACACCUUCAGAAUAAACAUUGUGUUCAAAACGCCUUCAUCCUUCUCUUACGAGAAUACAAGCACCUACUCCUUUUGCGAGAGGACUGCCCUCGCACUUCGGAUCUUUUUUCUUCACCCCGACCAUCACAGCGGCGAAGCGUGCCCUCCUGGCAGCGGGGCAGGACGCCAGCGGCGGCCCCUGGAGGUUCCCGGCAGCCUCUUCCAGGCCCUCAGUCCAUCACUGCCCGCUAGUGACGUGACGGUACCAUCUGGCGCCGAGUUGGGAUUGCACAAUCCAUUCGCUGUCAGGGUGCAUCAAUAACCGGCAACGUUCAAAAGGUUCAGCCCUCUUUGACGACAGGCGUGUCUGCGAGGGUGUUUCUUUUCAAACCUCUCUGGGGUGAGAGGAGAUGCUUUUAGGUCUGGGAAACUAUGCGUCGCGUUCAAGAACCAAAUCAUGAUGAUCUGUCUAUAGAUAAUUCACGUUGCAAUUCUGGUUUUAAGAUACCUAAGGAAUAUAUGUAAUGAAUAUAAAA